UACAAUCUGCGGUGUACGGAGUUCGACGCUUUUGCGGAAUCCACAUUAUUUAUUCGGGAGCGGUUAUUCUCGGCGAUAGACAAGGUCUGUAUUUAUACGGAAAGUUCGAGGCGUCAAGAUGCGGCACCCACCUGCUUAUCGCGGGUUCACCCUUCGUCGAGGUGCGGCACAGGCGGAUUCUUU
RNAcentral lists this non-coding RNA (183 nucleotides) under Clostridia bacterium. Its description in RNAcentral is "6S RNA". It matches the Rfam family "6S / SsrS RNA". Rfam says of the family: E. coli 6S RNA was the first non coding RNA to be sequenced, but its function was unknown until recently. It consists of 184 nucleotides that fold into an extended hairpin structure with a large single-stranded internal bulge. Lineage: Bacteria; Bacillati; Bacillota; Clostridia. The record is from RNAcentral.